This 237-nucleotide long non-coding RNA is filed under the name Brachypodium distachyon (stiff brome). RNAcentral's name for it is "long non-coding RNA (BDIS_LNC004866)". Lineage: Eukaryota; Viridiplantae; Streptophyta; Magnoliopsida; Poales; Poaceae. The record is from RNAcentral.
GGUCGGUUCUGGGCCGGUUCGACCCAUUUGGCCGGGGCCGGUCCGGUUUUCUCCUUUCUUUUUUCCUUUUCGCCUUUUCUUUUUCAGUUUUUCUUAUUUCUUUGAUAACUUUUGAUUUUGAACUCAAAAUUGGUCCAAAUAAAUUCCAGAAAAAUUUUAAAAUCAUGUUUUAUCAUGAUUCAACUUUUGGGAGUAGUUUCCCCUCAAAAUAAAAUAUAUAAAAAUACAUUUGCCCUA